GCAGAACGCGAAGAACCUUACCAAGGCUUGACAUACACCAGAACACCCUAGAAAUAGGGGACUCUUUGGACACUGGUGAACAGGUGGUGCAUGGUUGUCGUCAGCUCGUGUCGUGAGAUGUUGAGUUAAGUCCCGCAACGAGCGCAACCCUCGUUCUAUGUUGCCAGCACGUAAUGGUGGGAACUCAUGGGAUACUGCCGGGGUCAACUCGGAGGAAGGUGGGGAUGACGUCAAAUCAUCAUGCCCCUUAUGUCUUGGGCUUCACGCAUGCUACAAUGGCCGGUACAAAGGGCUGCAAUACCGUGAGGUGGAGCGAAUCCCAAAAAGCCGGUCCCAGUUCGGAUUGAGGUCUGCAACUCGACCUCAUGAAGUCGGAGUCGCUAGUAAUCGCAGAUCAGCAACGCUGCGGUGAAUACGUUCCCGGGUCUUGUACACACCG
Molecule: ribosomal RNA, 439 nt
Filed under: uncultured bacterium
Lineage: Bacteria
Description: bacterial SSU rRNA
Rfam family: Bacterial small subunit ribosomal RNA
Source: RNAcentral